This 102-nucleotide transfer RNA is filed under the name Prevotella melaninogenica. RNAcentral describes it as "tRNA-OTHER". It matches the Rfam family "tRNA", at positions 10 to 71 of the family's 71-position model. Rfam says of the family: Transfer RNA (tRNA) molecules are approximately 80 nucleotides in length. Their secondary structure includes four short double-helical elements and three loops (D, anti-codon, and T loops). Lineage: Bacteria; Pseudomonadati; Bacteroidota; Bacteroidia; Bacteroidales; Prevotellaceae. The record is from RNAcentral.
GUAAAGAUGAAGGAAAUAAGGGUUACGAUUUGUGGUCGAUUACAACGGUCUUGAAAACCGUCGUACCGAGAGGUACCGGGGGUUCGAAUCCCUCUCUCUCCG